UGCGGACGGGUGAGUAACGCGUGGAAAACCUGCCGUAUACUGGGGGAUAACACUUAGAAAUAGGUGCUAAUACCGCAUAAGCGCACAGCUUCGCAUGAAGCGGUGUGAAAAACUCUGGUGGUAUACGAUGGUUCCGCGUCUGAUUAGCUAGUUGGUGGGGUAAUGGCCUACCAAGGCAACGAUCAGUAGCCGGCCUGAGAGGGUGAACGGCCACAUUGGGACUGAGACACGGCCCAAACUCCUACGGGAGGCAGCAG
Molecule: ribosomal RNA, 257 nt
Filed under: uncultured bacterium
Lineage: Bacteria
Description: partial 16S ribosomal RNA
Rfam family: Bacterial small subunit ribosomal RNA
Source: RNAcentral